This 490-nucleotide ribosomal RNA is filed under the name uncultured bacterium. RNAcentral describes it as "partial 16S ribosomal RNA". It matches the Rfam family "Bacterial small subunit ribosomal RNA", at positions 30 to 507 of the family's 1533-position model. The record is from RNAcentral.
AUUGAACGCUGGCGGCAGGCCUAACACAUGCAAGUCGAACGGUAAUAGGAAGAAGCUUGCUUCUUUGCUGACGAGUGGCGGACGGGUGAGUAAUGUCUGGGAAACUGCCUGAUGGAGGGGGAUAACUACUGGAAACGGUAGCUAAUACCGCAUAACGUCGCAAGACCAAAGAGGGGGACCUUCGGGCCUCUUGCCAUCGGAUGUGCCCAGAUGGGAUUAGCUAGUAGGUGGGGUAACGGCUCACCUAGGCGACGAUCCCUAGCUGGUCUGAGAGGAUGACCCGCCACCCUGGAACUGAGACACGGUCCAGACUCCUACGGGAGGCCGCAGUGGGGAAUAUUGCACAAUGGGCGCAAGCCUGAUGCAGCCAUGCCGCGUGUAUGAAGAAGGCCUUCGGGUUGUAAAGUACUUUCAGCGGGGAGGAAGGGAGUAAAGUUAAUACCUUUACUCAUUGACGUUACCCGCAGAAGAAGCACCGGCUAACUCCGUG